GGAUUCCCCUAGUAACUGCGAGUGAAGUGGGAAAAGCUCAAAUUUAAAAUCUGGUAGUCUUUUGAUUGCCUGAAUUGUAAUCUAGAGAAGCACUAUCCGCUCUGGACCAUGUAUAAGUCUCCUGGAAUGGAGCAUCAUAGAAGGUGAGAAUCCUGUCUUUGACAUGGAGUUUAUCAGAGCUUUUGUGAUGUGCUCUCAAAGAGUCGAGUUGUUUGGGAAUGCAGCUCUAAAUGGGUGGUAAAUUCCAUCUAAAGCUAAAUAUUGGCGAGAGACCGAUAGCGAACAAGUACCGUGAGGGAAAGAUGAAAAGAACUUUGAAAAGAGAGUUAAAUAGUACGUGAAAUUGUUGAAAGGGAAACACUUGAAGUCAGUUAUAUUAAUCAGAGAUCAACCUUGUUUUUUUUACUUGGUGUAUUUUCUGGUUGAUAAGUCAGUAUCAAUUUUAAUCAGUGGAAAAAGGCUGAAAGAAUGUGGCAUUUUCGGAUGUGUUAUAGCUUUCAGUCAUAUACAUUGGUUGAAAUUGAGGAACUCAGCAUGCCGCAAGGCCGGAUUUUUAAAUCACGUUCAUGCUUAGGAUAUUGACAUAAUGGCUUUAAUUGACCCGUCUUGAAACACGGACCAAGGAGUCUAACAUAUCUGCAAGUAUUUGAGUAGAAAACUCAGGUGCAUAAUGAAAGUGAAAGUUGGGAUCUCUGUCAUAGAGAGCACUGAUGCCUGGACCAGAUCUUUUGUGACGGAUCCACGGUAGAGCAUGUAUGUUGGGACCCGAAAGAUGGUGAACUAUGCCUGAAUAGGGUGAAGCCAGAGGAAACUCUGGUGGAAGCUUGUAGCGAUUCUGACGUGCAAAUCGAUCGUCAAAUUUGGGUAUAGGGGCGAAAGACUAAUCGAACCAUCUAGUAGCUGGUUCCUGUCGAAGUUUCCCUCAGGAUAGCAGAAACUCAUAUCAGAUUUAUGUGGUAAAGCGAAUGAUUAGAGGCCUUGGGGUUGUAACAACCUUAACCUAUUCUCAAACUUUAAAUAUGUAAGAACGAGCUGUCUCUUAAUUGGACUGCUCGGUGAUUGAGAGUUUCUAGUGGGCCAUUUUUGGUAAGCAGAACUGGCGAUGCGGGAUGAACCGAACGCGAGGUUAAGGUGCCAGAAUUCACACUCAUCAGAUACCACAAAAGGUGUUAGUUCAUCUAGACAGCAGGACGGUGGCCAUGGAAGUCGGAAUCCGCUAAGGAGUGUGUAACAACUCACCUGCCGAAUGAACUAGCCCUGAAAAUGGAUGGCGCUCAAGUGUGAUACCCAUACCUCGCCGUCAGUGUUAAAGUGAUGCACUGACGAGUAGGCAGGCAUGGAGGUUAGUAAAGAAGCUU
Molecule: ribosomal RNA, 1358 nt
Filed under: Entoloma sp.
Lineage: Eukaryota; Fungi; Basidiomycota; Agaricomycetes; Agaricales; Entolomataceae
Description: LSU rRNA
Rfam family: Eukaryotic large subunit ribosomal RNA
Source: RNAcentral